CCUACGGGAGGCAGCAGUGAGGAAUAUUGGUCAAUGGCCGCAAGUCUGAACCAGCCAAGUAGCGUGCGGGAAGACUGCCCUAUGGGUUGUAAACCUCUUUUAUGCGGGGAUAAAGUUGUUCACGUGUGGAUUUUUGCAUGUACCGCAUGAAUAAGGACCGGCUAAUUCCGUGCCAGCAGCCGCGGUAAUACGGAAGGUCCGGGCGUUAUCCGGAUUUAUUGGGUUUAAAGGGAGCGUAGGCCGGCCCUUAAGCGUGCUGUGAAAUUGUGUGGCUCAACCGUGGGAGUGCAGCGCGAACUGGGGGGCUUGAGUGCGCCGAAGGCAGGCGGAAUUCGUGGUGUAGCGGUGAAAUGCUUAGAUAUCACGAAGAACCCCGAUGGCGAAGGCAGCCUGCCGUAGCGUGACUGACGCUGAGGCUCGAAGGCGCGGGUAUCGAACAGGAUUAGAUACCCGGGUAGUC
This 460-nucleotide ribosomal RNA is filed under the name uncultured bacterium. RNAcentral's name for it is "partial 16S ribosomal RNA". It matches the Rfam family "Bacterial small subunit ribosomal RNA", at positions 338 to 795 of the family's 1533-position model. The record is from RNAcentral.